RNAcentral lists this long non-coding RNA (1518 nucleotides) under Astyanax mexicanus (Mexican tetra). RNAcentral's name for it is "lncRNA (ENSAMXG00005014834.1)". The record is from RNAcentral. Lineage: Eukaryota; Metazoa; Chordata; Actinopteri; Characiformes; Acestrorhamphidae.
CCGGAACCGGACUCUACGUUUGAAAGCGGUUCUGCACCGCGGCUGCACCGAUUCAAUCAGAACCCGGAGUGCAUUUCCUCAAUACCUGCCAUCAUAGAGGCUAUCAUGAAGAUAGGACUCCUGAUCAUUCUGUUAGUUUACCUCUCAGAAGUCCAGCCCAAGAAAAUCACUUAUAUUAAUGCAGAGGUGAACAAACCUGUUUAUCUCCCAUGUGAGCUUAAUUGCUCUGGUUUUGCUAAGUGGGUCCGCUAUACCUCCAUCCAUGAUAACGUUGCUGACGUUGCUGACUGCGACAAAAAGACAUGCUGGAUUAAGGACCCUCUUCGGAUAAGUUUCCCCUUUCAAGGAGACAGAACAACAGAGAACAAUUCGCUGCUUAUCAACCCCGUGAUCUACAAUGACCAAGGCAGAUACAGGUGCAGCUGUGGGGAAAAAAAAGCUGGCGUAAAACUAAAUGUCUUUGUUCCUAUGGUGGUGAAGACUCAUGAGCGGGAGAAGGUCUCUCUUCCGUGCUAUGGAGACACUCGCAGGGAUGCCCGGGACGUACAGUGGAAAAAAGACACACAACUGGUUCUCCUGUACAAUCACGAGAAUGGGGAUGUGACUCGAGGUAAAGGCUUUGAAGAUGGAUUCUUUGUGUCUCCUGAAGCUUUUCAAGAUGGGGAUCUCUCCCUCCACAUCAAUUCAGUUCGCCAGUCAGACGCAGGGCUGUAUGUGUGCAAAAUUCACGGUGAAUCAACCGAUGGAGAACCACGUGCUGUCCUGCUGAUCGUGGAAGAGUCAGGAGGGCUUGGAGGGCUUGGAGUGUUAUCCAUCCUUCUUGCUUUAAUCAGUGGAGCACUGGGUGCCUUUAUUAUAUGGCUUUGGAGGAAGAAGAUUAUUUCCUGGCAGGUCAUCAAAGGUCUUUACCGUAGAAAAGCACACAGAGAGCAUGAUCCUGUUCAGGAAGAAAAUCCACUUGCACAUCUGCCGAAGUCUACAACCACACCAUUUGUGCAAGGACCUGAGGAAUGAUAAAUAUGGUUUAAACUCCAGGCAAGCCUGAAGAUGGAAUAGAUUAAUAUAUAGACUACGGCUGGACCUGUAUUUAUGUAACUUAAGUUUUUAUUAUGUUCCACUAUGAUCAGGAGCGUGCAGCUUGCCAUCAGCUGCCAGAGCCAUGAGAGAGCACAAUUGGCCUUGCUCUCUCUGGGUGGGUAGAUGGCACUCUUACCUCUCAUCACAAAGUGUCUUAUGAGCUGAUGUAUCAGAACUGAACUGCUUUUCUCAAAGUAUGCAGUAAUGCUACUCAGCUUUUUAAUUACUGUAUAUAGGUGAUUUUAAAACUAAUCAAGGGUUAUGGAUUUGUCAAAUUUUAUAGGUGCAGUUUGGGGCCUUGCAUUAAUGUCUUUUAUUAGGUGAAGGGAUAAUGGGUUUUCAUGUUUCGCACUGUUUUGAGCGUAGCAACAUUGUUACUGUUUUACAUACUUUUAUAAUUUUAUAAAUAAUAAAAAAAUAUUAAACUCUAAACUUUUUCCA